Molecule: ribosomal RNA, 346 nt
Filed under: uncultured eukaryote
Lineage: Eukaryota
Description: SSU rRNA
Rfam family: Eukaryotic small subunit ribosomal RNA
Source: RNAcentral
AUAGCGUAUAUUAAAGUUGUUGCAGUUAAAAAGCUCGUAGUUGAACCUUGGGCCUGGCUGGCCGGUCCGCCUCACCGCGUGCACUGGUCCGGCCGGGUCUUUCCUUCUGGGGAGCCGCAUGCCCUUCACUGGGUGUGUCGGGGAACCAGGACUUUUACUUUGAAAAAAUUAGAGUGUUCAAAGCAGGCCUAUGCUCGAAUACAUUAGCAUGGAAUAAUAGAAUAGGACGUGUGGUUCUAUUUUGUUGGUUUCUAGAGUCGCCGUAAUGAUUAAUAGGGAUAGUUGGGGGCAUUAGUAUUCAGUUGCUAGAGGUGAAAUUCUUGGAUUUACUGAAGACUAACUACUG